UUCCCUUGCUCUCUUUUCUUUUUGUUCCAUCGGUCCUUCCACUUGCUAUAUAUAUAUUCUAUAAUAUAUGAAAAUUGUAAAUAUAUGUAAAAGUGAAAUGGAUCAGUUGAGAGUUGAGACAUGAAAGUACGUAUUAUGAGGAAGGGUACGCAACAAGAGGAAUGCAGUGCAUGUACAGAUACUGAACAAAUGGAUAACUAAAUUAAACUAGGUCUUCUCUCGUACGUUAUUGCAUAGUUGGAACUUUCACAUAUGAAAAUUAUAAAUAUACGGAUUACAGAAUAAUCUUUGUACUCUAAUCGACUACACGUACGUACGUAGCAUCUAAUUAAUUCUCUAUUAUAUUUCCCAAACUAUUUUUCUCUAUAUUGUGCCAUUACCUUUUAACGAUUGACUUAUUAUUCUUCAGCAAUUGUUUGAUUCUUGAUUCAUUUCCACUUGUUCGAUUCUAGCUUUUAUAUCUAGCGUGGGGGGUGUUUGUUUUCUUUUAAAUAUACGGAGUAACAUAAAAACUUGGGAUAGAGUUUCAAAACCAUUUUCUUAAAUGACUUAAAUUUUUGUGCAGAAAACAUGAAGAAAUAGCUAGAAACAAAAAAAAAAAGAACAAAAAUAAUCAUGCAAAACAUGAUGAACACAAACAAAUUAAAGAUUUUUCUCUCGUAUUAUAAAACAAUAAUUCUGUACGUUCGUAGUAGAAUAUACACAACUAUAAUUGACAAGGUAAACAUAAUUUGUUUUAUUUAUUAGUGAAUCACGUGUACUUUAUAUAGCUAUUUUAAAAAAUAAUUCUUAACUAUAUUAUAUAUUUUUGCUUAUAAAAUAAACUAUAUUAUAGUUUUAUAUGUUAAUGUCACAUUUUAAUUAUAUACAUGUAUACUGUAAACGAGUAAGUAUAUACAAUGAUUUUUUUUAAAUAUACUAUAAUUUUUGCAUUUUUGUGGGAUUUCAUUUGUUAUAUUUAUAUAUACUUUUUUUAUGGAUAUAGGAUUUAUUUUUUAAAAAAAAUGCAGGAUUCUAAAAAAUAAAAAAUAAAUAUAAGAAUAAUAAAGCGUAAAAGUAAAAAUCAAGAAACCUUGUUUUAAGAAAAGAAUUUAAAUAAGUAUAUAAUAGUGUAAUAAACUAAUUUACACACUAAAUGAAAUUAAAAUUCUUAAAAAAAAGUUAAAGGCGACAUUAAAAUAAAAAGAAUAUAUUACAUAAUACAUGAAGUUGUCUUUGAUUAAAAAUAAAUAAUUAAAAUGGUUAAGUUGUAUAUAGUGGAUAAAUAUGCAUAUGCAGUUGUGGAAUUUCUAGGUGUGGCUUUAGUCCAGAUGAAAAUGAAAGAGACCGAUGUUGGUUUCAGUGAAUGUUGACUGAUAAAUAUGGGGGUAGUGGUGGGGUGUGAAGCAGUUCUGUGUGUUUUUAUUCAUAUGCAUUUUGAUUUUGAUUUUUAUUGUUCAUUAUUUAAGUUUAUGCUCCUUCAUCUAAUUUUCUGUGACCUUGAAACCCUUACUUUUUUUUCUUCUUUUUUCUUUUUUUGGUAAGCUUGAACCCAGCUUUGGUUGUCAAUUCAAGAAAACAGAUCAGAACAUGAGUGACCAUUGACGUGUGUGUUUGUGCAAGAGAGAGAGGCAGAAAAACCACAUGUUAGUAGAUGCAAUAAAAAGCAACGAUUCACUAACCUUACCAUUAUUAGGAAUAGGACCCCCUUCAAAAUGAACUGCAGAAUGUACGCAGUUAUGAUUCUCAUCCUUCAUAUUAAUUAGAUUAAUUAAAUUUCUAAAGAUAAAUUUACCAUUUAACAAAUUAAAUCAAAGGACCAAUUUGGUGCAGAGAGUCUAUGUAUGUGACUACGUGGUGUGGCCUGAUGAUGAAGGACAUAUGAAGACUGAGGAGGUGCUGAGAGAAAGGUCUGGCUCUUUUCUUUUUUUUUUUUCUUGGGUAAAUUAACUGCUGUCCUUUUAUGCUAAAUAAGUUGAUAAAUGAUAAUUAGUGUUUUUAGAGGAUUGAUUAAGAAAAACUAAAGCAAGAAAAAAAAUAUGUAAAAUUAUAUUGUUGAUGAUUUUUUUAUAAUUUUUAUAAUAAAUAUUUUUUAAAAUUUCUUAAUGAAUGUUCUAAUAACUCUGAUCAGCAAAACUCAAAUAUUUAAUAGAAUUAUGAUAUUUAAACACUUAAAUUAUGAUAUUCAAACAUGCACCUGUCCAACAUCUUUCUUUUUUUAUUAUCACUUAUAAUAUUUAUAUUUUUUUAUCUUUUUAUUUUUCUCUCACUAGAUGUAAAUACCUCGGAAAAGAAACAAAAAUGGUGAAAUCAGUACAAAUUCAGAAGCAUGUGUCAUACCACCAACUUGUAUGAGAAUUGCUAGCCCCCCUGUUUUUCUGAGAAGGUUAAUUAUGCAAAUUUUGAUGGGCAUGGUUACCUGUUGGGGACUAAUUAAUUUGUCAACAAGUGAGAUGUUUGGAGAACGUUGAAAAAGAAGACCUUGUAAAACUAUUAUCAAGAAAUAAAACUUAAAAGUCCUUGGUAGAAUCAUACACACCUUAUUAAAUAGAACAUCUUGGGGUUCUUCAUAUAAUACAACCAGCUAUAUAUAAACUACUUAUACUACUGUGCUACUAUAUAUGAACAAAGUAGUGCGACACAGUGGCCGCAUUAGCCUCUUCAUCGUCCCUGCUAUUUUUCUUCGACUCCACGACAACAAUUGGCAUUCCCAUACGUACGUCAACGGUCCUGGUUGCCUUUGGCGACGAGAUAGCAUCAAAAUAAUAGGUAACUAAACUAGGUUUGGUGGUCUUCUCAGUAGAGCAUGGUUGGGAUGUUCAUAUGGGAAAACUAUAAAUACACAUAUUCCAGCUUAAUCUUUGCACUCUCACCGCAAGGGAAGCGUUUUUCUUCCGCACAUAAUUUAAUUAUGUAGCAU
RNAcentral lists this long non-coding RNA (2899 nucleotides) under Glycine max (soybean). Its description in RNAcentral is "long non-coding RNA (GMAX_LNC002056)". Lineage: Eukaryota; Viridiplantae; Streptophyta; Magnoliopsida; Fabales; Fabaceae. The record is from RNAcentral.